Molecule: non-coding RNA, 288 nt
Organism: Schizosaccharomyces pombe (fission yeast)
Lineage: Eukaryota; Fungi; Ascomycota; Schizosaccharomycetes; Schizosaccharomycetales; Schizosaccharomycetaceae
Source: the annotation of a GenBank genome assembly
CUCCACAUCAACUAGGUUAGCCUUGGAAAGUUCUGAUGAGUGAGAGCUAUUCACGGUUGACAAAUUUUGAGCAUUUUCAUCAUUAGCAAUCGGUGGUCUGGUAUGAAAAUUGGCAGCUGUUGAGAGGUUGGACGUUGCAGAAUGAGAAAGCUGUGAUUGCAAUUGAUAUGUACUAACAGACUCAUGGCUUGUGGUAUGAUAUAGUUCCGGAUGAGCCGAAGCAGACUGGGAGAUUGAAUUCGUUAAUGGUUGUAUACCGGCAUUCGGGUUAGUAGACAUUGCCAAUCU